GGAAGGUCCCAUAAGGGGAAGGGGAGGGUGAGGAAGGUCCCAUCACAGGCAGAGGCACCAGAGACGGGCCCAGUCCCCCCAUAGAGCCUGGGGGCCACUCCCUAAGAGGAUGUAAGGCAACCAAUUAAGCUAAAAUGGGGUUUCCUGGAGGAGCCUCCCCCCGGGAGCGAGUGCACCUUUGGGGGGCAGGCAGAGAGCAGGGGAGGGUCCCGCGCAGCCGGACGUGCCCCAGGGGAUGCCCAGGGCGAGGGCCUUGGAAGCCCUCCUGGGGUUGGGCAGGAGCCCCCAAGGGACCCAGAAGUGAGGUCGCAGCGAUACCCGCUCUGGCUGCAUCGGCGGGAAGGGCCUGAGUCACUCACUCGACUGGCGCUGCCCCCGGAGCACAAGGAAGCCGGCGACCGACCGGUCAGGCCUCCGGGGACUGUCUGCACUCCGGAGGCUUCGAGGAAAACUUUCUCCGCCCUGCGGAAGGGCCUCGCCCUCCCAUGUUUCCUGGAAAGUGAGCAAGACUUUCCUGAGCUGGUCCGUUUGGCUGAGAACGUUCCUGCGGACCAUUCCCUUUAACCACGAGACUGGAUUCCGUCCAACAGAAGCUCCUGGAGGCAAGGAAAGUCCUCGCUUCGAGGACGCGGCCCCACGUGGCCCCACGCACGGUGCAAGGCCUGAGAAGUGUUUGCGGAAUGAAUGCAUGAGCUUGCCCAGACUUUCACACAGAAGGCCGUCUGCUGUCCUGUGCACGCCGGCCGUGGAGCCCGGGCUCUGUGUCCGGACCCGCCAUCCGCCAAGCAGAGGGCUCUCCGCCCUGGGGACACAUCACGAAGCAGCAGGUGCGGAGUUCUGGGGAGGACAGCUCAGCUGCCACAACAGGCAGCCUCAUUAACGCCCUGAGGCUCCUUGAGGAUAAGGAGGACCCUCCAACAGCACAGGGCUUAGGGGCACCAACCCCCUGUGGUCGAAAAUUCACAUUUCACAUUUGGCUCCCCAGAAGUUGGCGGCAGGGCCCCUGAGGAGCCGAUGCCCAGGGCUGGCUGUCUACAGGGACUCUCUGAGGGGAGGGGGAUUUCUGCCCAGAGUCACCGUGCAGCCCUCCAGCUGGGGGUCCCAUAGCCGGGCUUUUGUCCCAGGCCCCGCCACCCCCUGGCCUUGCACACCCAGCCCUGCCCCUGCGGGAAGGAGGGGUCAAGGGUGGGCUGGAGGGCCGCCUGCCCCCUGGAGAGACCACCUACUCACUGUACGCCCCGAGUGCAGGCCUUGCAGUUCGCUUGGCAGACUCAGAAGCGCCGCCGCCGCUCAUCUCCUUGUGGAGGGGCAUCCAAGUCACCUGGCUAAGGGCUGGCACGGGCAUUGGCUCACCCCCGGCCCCUUCCGUGGAGUGGCGCUCAGCCGCGCCACGCGAGGCCUGGGGGAGGUGGCCAGAGGGACCCAGGGCGUCCAGGGUCUGCUCCCGUCUAUGGCGCACUUGGAGGGGCCGCUGCGGGCCCAAGCGUGUCUGCACAUGCUCCGAGAGCCCUGGACAAAUGCCAGGCCUGCCACACCGCCAGCCAUAGCUCUGCCCACCGUGCCCUGGGCCCGCACCUGACACGCUGUCCAUCGGGAAGCCCCCGGCUCCAGGAGGAAGAUGGCACUGCUGGCAGGGGUCGGGGGGGCGGCGUGUCCAGUGUGACUCAACACACACCGCCUGCAGCCCAGGGACUUCCCGAGGUCAGGAAAGGCAGGGCGCCUGAGAAUACACGUUUCCUGACGGCGCACAGACAGCCCCACAGCCACUUUCCCUCCUGCCACGUGGAGGCCACCUCUGAGACCCCAGCCCAGAAGACACCAAAGUGAGCCAGGAAAGAAAAGCAGCCACCGCUCCCAUCGGACUGGGCGGCACCAGUCUGGUCCAGAGGCAGAGCCGCGGUGCCCACAUGGUGCCCACACCUGAGCAUGGCCCGCAUCCCGUGACAGCCCGCGCUCACAGCACCCACGGUGUUACGAUGCCCGGAGAGCCGGGACAGUCCCUCCCCUCCACGGGGGAGGAAGCACGGCCACCGGCUCGUGCAGCGGAGCCUGGAGCCCGCACCAAGCCAUCGGGGAACCAAGGUCCUGAGAAGCAGAAUGUCUGAGAACAGCUUGUCCUCAGCAGCUGAUUCAGACCAUGCUUCUCCCACCCACAGGCAGGACGCCCGAAACACAGUGCACUUGAAGAUGUGGCCUUGGCAAAGCCCAGGCCUUUCCCAGACUCCGUUUCCAUCUCCCCAUCUAUGGCUUCUGUGCGGGGUUGAACCAACCAGGGCUCCCCAAAACGCCUACCCCACCCCAAGUGUCUGGGGUCUGACCGCCAUGGAAAAGCAGCAGGUCGCCCAGCAAGCGGAUCCUAGGUGGGCUGAUCUCAGACAGUCUAGGAGGUCAGCUUGAGGUGGGAAGCUGCAGGGCGCCAGGGGGCCAGAGGGCAGCCCGCCACGCCCGGGCUCUGUCCUGAGGUCACGGGCACAGCCUCCCUGGAGACAGAGGUCCCCCAUCGGAAGCACAGGCAUCUGCCCUGCAACUGGCAACAACCGGGAACAUUCUGCUGUGGGCUACAUACCAGAAAUGCAGGGGUUGGAAGUAGCCAUCCUGGAAGGCUUUCCAUGAGGUGAUUUGUCUCUCUCGGGAAGGAGUCCAGCCCUGAACAGUAGGGUUCCAGGAGCGAAGCCUGGGCCACCUGGGCCCAGCCUUCCUAGCUCUGAAGCUAGGGGGCCCCGCCCGCCCGGGAGCAAGAGACCACAUGUGGGGAACCAGCCCAGCAUGCUGCCCCCAAGCGCGUGUGGAGCAACCACUUUGCUGGGGGAACACUAGUUCCUGGAAACACAAAGAUCAUGUGCACUUGCCUGCCUCCCAGGAGCUCGUAACCCAGCGUGUCCUGGCUUGGCCCUUGACAGCCGAGUGACAGGGGCCUAGACCAAGGGCCCAGACGAGGGUUUCUCUGCAGUAAGAAAUGGGCCUGUUAAUGCGGUUCCCCAACCCGAAGGUCGUCACGCCCAUCCCGAGGGGAAGGUCCAGUGGGAAGUGGACACCGUGCUCUGCAAGAUGAGGGGAAGGACGAAACCAAGUCCAGGGAAGGGUGGGCCGCAGUCUUGGCCAGCACUCAGGAGCAGCUACCCCCAGGGUCAGGCCCACUGGGUGGGUGCAUCUGCGGGACCCCUUGUCCCCCAGCCCCCAGGAAACCAUGCCUUGUGCUUCUGCCAUGAGUUUCUGCCCCAUGUCUAGCUGUCUGAAACUCAUUAUCAUGAAUUGCUGUGGAAUUUUGGUUUACACACCUGUGUGAAGACUCCCCUUGAUUCUGUGCAUAUGGUGAUUUUCAUUCUUUUUUUUUUUUUUUAAUGUGAAACCAACCUUGCAUUCCUGGGAUCAAACCCGCCAGGUUAAGACGUGUUAAGGAUCUAAGAUGUAGACCCUUGCUCUACAUAGCUGGAUGCUAUCUGUGACGUAUCGUCAACAACUUUUGCAUCUAUAUUUACAAGGGAUAUUGAUCUAUGGCUUUCUUUUCUUGUAAUUCGCUUGUUAUGUAUCUGAGCUCCACUGUUCCUAUAAAAUGAGUUAGAAAGCAUUCCCUACUCCUUGAUUUUAUUAGUUUAAAACUGCUGUUAAAGCUCCCUUAAGGGAUCCCUGGGUGGUGCAGCGGUUUGGCACCUGCCUUUGGCCCAGGGUGCGAUCCUGGAGACCCGAGAUCGAAUCCCACA
This is a long non-coding RNA of Canis lupus familiaris (dog), 3701 nucleotides long. RefSeq lists it as uncharacterized. The transcript is spliced from 3 exons. The record is from RefSeq and is a predicted model, not a curated record. Lineage: Eukaryota; Metazoa; Chordata; Mammalia; Carnivora; Canidae.